AGAGUUUGAUCCUGGCUCAGGACGAACGCUGGCGGCGUGCUUAACACAUGCAAGUCGAACGAGACGAUUAAAAGCUUGCUUUUGAAAGUCGAGUGGCAAACGGGUGAGUAACGCGUAGACAACCUGCCGUAAAGAUGGGGACAACAGUCCGAAAGGACUGCUAAUACCGAGUGUUGUGGAACUUCUGCAUGGGAGCUCUACUAAAGAUGGCCUCUACUUGUAAGCUAUCGCUUUACGAUGGGUCUGCGUCUGAUUAGCUAGUUGGUGGGGUAACGGCUUACCAAGGCGACGAUCAGUAGCCGGUCUGAGAGGAUGAACGGCCACAUUGGAACUGAGACACGGUCCAGACUCCUACGGGAGGCAGCAGUGGGGAAUCUUCCGCAAUGGGCGCAAGCCUGACGGAGCAACGCCGCGUGAGUGAAGAAGGGUUUCGACUCGUAAAGCUCUGUUGUCGGGGACGAAUGUGGAGGUUGUGAAUAACAGCUUCCAAUGACGGUACCUGACGAGGAAGCCACGGCUAACUACGUGCCAGCAGCCGCGGUAAUACGUAGGUGGCGAGCGUUGUCCGGAANUUAUUGGGCGUAAAGGGAGCGCANGUGGGAGAUCAAGUCUAUCUUUAAAAGUGCGGGGCUCAACCCCGUGAGGGGAUGGAAACUGGUCUUCUUGAGUGCAGGAGAGGAAAGCGGAAUUCCUAGUGUAGCGGUGAAAUGCGUAGANNUUAGGAGGAACACCAGUUGGCGGAUGGCGGCUUUCUGGACUUGUUAACUGACGCUGANGCUCNNANGCGUGGGGAGCGGAGCAGGAUUANNUANCCU
Molecule: ribosomal RNA, 815 nt
Filed under: uncultured bacterium
Lineage: Bacteria
Description: bacterial SSU rRNA
Rfam family: Bacterial small subunit ribosomal RNA
Source: RNAcentral